RNAcentral lists this ribosomal RNA (452 nucleotides) under Granulicatella adiacens. RNAcentral describes it as "bacterial SSU rRNA". It matches the Rfam family "Bacterial small subunit ribosomal RNA", at positions 28 to 471 of the family's 1533-position model. Lineage: Bacteria; Bacillati; Bacillota; Bacilli; Lactobacillales; Carnobacteriaceae. The record is from RNAcentral.
GACGAACGCUGGCGGCGUGCCUAAUACAUGCAAGUCGAACGAGAGCGACCGGUGCUUGCACUGGUCAAUCUAGUGGCGAACGGGUGAGUAACACGUGGGUAACCUGCCCAUCAGAGGGGGAUAACAUCCGGAAACGGAUGCUAAAACCGCAUAGGUCCUUUAACCGCAUGGUUGAAGGAGGAAAAGAGGCGCAAGCUUCUGCUGAUGGAUGGACCCGCGGUGCAUUAGCUAGUUGGUGAGGUAACGGCUCACCAAGGCCGUGAUGCAUAGCCGACCUGAGAGGGUGAUCGGCCACAUUGGGACUGAGACACGGCCCAAACUCCUACGGGAGGCAGCAGUAGGGAAUCUUCCGCAAUGGACGCAAGUCUGACGGAGCAACGCCGCGUGAGUGAAGAAGGUUUUCGGAUCGUAAAACUCUGUUGUUAGAGAAGAACAAGUGCUAGAGUAAACUG